Molecule: RNA transcript, 2298 nt
Organism: Triticum dicoccoides
Lineage: Eukaryota; Viridiplantae; Streptophyta; Magnoliopsida; Poales; Poaceae
Gene name: transcription factor bHLH35-like
Exons: 6
Source: RefSeq, a predicted model, not a curated record
GAGAGAGAGAGAGAGAGAGAGAGAGAGAGAGAGAGAGAGAGAGAGAGCAGAUCUAGCAGAGUAGCAGAGCAAUGGCGUCGUCCGACAUGGACGUGAGCUUGGAUUUCUCUUGGGAGGCCCUGGUGCUCGAGCUCGGCGACGCAGAUAGCAUGCACCUGCCGGCCGAGGACUCUCUGUCCGGCCUGUGCGACGACUUGACGAGCUCGCCGGACGGCGCCACCUCGCGGUCGACGAAGGCAAGCAGCUUGGAGAGGAAGAACAUAAUCAACGAGAGGCACCGGCGAAGGAUGCUCAACGAGAAGCUUUACGCCCUUCGCCGUGUCGUUCCAAACAUCACCAAGAUGGACAAGGCGUCCAUCAUCCAGGACGCUAUCGCCUACAUCGAGGAGCUGCAGGAGCAGGAGCGCCAGAUUCUUGCCGCCCUCCGAACCGACAGCUGCACCGCCGUGGCCAAGGUGGACGAUGCCGCCUCGACCGGCAGCAACGCAGAGGACCAUGGCGUCGGCUCCUCGCCGCGGAAGAAGAUGAGGAGGACCACCUCUGCCUCCUCCAUUAACGGCGCCUUCUGUUCUCCUUCCACGCAUCCGGUUCAAAUCUUUGAGCUGGAGGUGACGCAGGUAGCAGAGGAGUUAACAAUGGUCAGCAUGAGACAUGGCAAUUCCCACAACGCCAUUGCCAAGGUGUGCGAGGCACUCGAGUCGCUCUGUCUCAAGAUCAUCUCGACAAGCAUCACCGCCGUGGCCAGUGGCAUCGUCCACAACAUGUUCGUUGAGGUGUGCAUCCAGCAUGGCCCAUCAAAAUAUUUUAGGUUCUCUCUUCUUGAGGUGUGUGACUUGUAAACGUAUGAGGUUAGUCUAGCGUGUGCUGGCUUGGCAUCUUGCACAUCAUCGGGUACAUGGAGAAACAUCAAGAUGCGAAGAAUGGAACAAAUGUGGACCUAGAACUUUUACAUGGCUUUUGGCAUUAUCAGGGAUCUUUGUUUUUAUGUGUAUUUCAUGCUUUUCAAUCUACCAUACCUUCCUUUAUGAAUUGCUAAAGCCAGAUAAUUGUUUAACAUAUUUGCUAAUUAUGCUUAAUCAUGUAUCGUAGUCGCGUGUCCUUGCUUGAAAACUUGCUAGACAUAUGUGUGGCUUGACUAAUGCUUGUGAACACAUGUGUUUGCCAGUGCUUUCUAGGAACGAUUUGUCUCUCAAAGAAAUUUUCGUGAGGUCUAUCUCAUGAAUUAGGUCGUGGUUCACUAAGGCUAUUUGGGAUGGGAUUUUGUUAAGUUUUUUGGGGUCCAAGCUUCAAUUUGAAAAGGAGUCGGGAUUGGUUCUAAUGUUCGUGCAUAAUAGGAAAAGUAAGGCCAGGCUAGGGCUGCAGCUGCCCAAACUAUAUCCCGAUGUCUCUCUUGUUAUUGGGUUGUUAUGCAAUUCAACCUAUCGAUUUUUUUCAUAGUGUUUGGUUGACUCCAUAUCUCAUGCCCAUUCAUCUCCCAAGAGGCAUCGCUGCCCUGACACUUAUGAUGUGCUGUGUCACACAAGAGCAUGUGUAUCAUCCAUGAUCAGGCAGAAGGAAUGCAUGGUGCUCAAACAAUCAAGGAGAUGAUACAAACUCACUCAGCCAUCUCGAUGUGAGAAGAAGCUCACCGAUGUCUAUGAGUCCAUGUUGAAGAUUAAGUGUUGCAAAUAAUGCACUAAUGGGCAUCCCAUCUAUCUAGGAUUUAAUCGUCUCGAUGUGACUAAUGUGCUUCCCAACUACCUAUGCUCUAGUCAUGUCGAUGUGAAUCUCAACCACCUAUGCCCUAGUAUAAUCAAGGGAUGCACUAAUGGAAAUCCCAACAUUGCUCAAGCAAUCAAGGAGAUCGACUCACUCCGCGACCUCAGUCUGAGAAGAAGCCCACCAAUGCCCAUGAGCCCUGAUGAAUACGAAGUGUUGCGAAUAGACAUCCUUCUGAUUUUUCACUAAUUAAUCAGACAAUUUUCUUCUUCUUAAUAAAUGGAUAGAGGCCUUUUGGCCUCAGUUUCAAGAAAAAAAGAUUAAGUGUUGCAAAGAAUGUACUAUGGCCUCCCAACUACAUAUGUUCUAGUCCACUCUAAUACUAUAGUCAUCUUCUAAUAACUUGAUAGCAAUUGGAGUUAAUUAUAUGGCCCUAGAAAUAAAAUUCAUCUCUGGACUUGGUGGACUCUAGUACUAUGCAGUCAUCUUUGGAAGCUAACAUAUUGCCAAUUGUGUGUGUGAGCAUAAGUUGGACUUUGUUGGGAUAACGAAACCGGGUAAAAAUGAUUAAUCGACGCGUGGCCUCGACCACCUUUUCGA